This 449-nucleotide ribosomal RNA is filed under the name uncultured bacterium. RNAcentral's name for it is "partial 16S ribosomal RNA". It matches the Rfam family "Bacterial small subunit ribosomal RNA", at positions 29 to 523 of the family's 1533-position model. The record is from RNAcentral.
AACGAACGCUGGCGGCAUGCCUAACACAUGCAAGUCGAACGAGAUCUUCGGGUCUAGUGGCGCACGGGUGCGUAACGCGUGGGAAUCUGCCCUUUGGUUCGGAAUAACAGUUGGAAACGACUGCUAAUACCGGAUGAUGACGAAAGUCCAAAGAUUUAUCGCCAGAGGAUGAGCCCGCGUAGGAUUAGCUAGUUGGUGUGGUAAAGGCGCACCAAGGCGACGAUCCUUAGCUGGUCUGAGAGGAUGAUCAGCCACACUGGGACUGAGACACGGCCCAGACUCCUACGGGAGGCAGCAAUGGGGAAUAUUGGACAAUGGGCGAAAGCCUGAUCCAGCAAUGCCGCGUGAGUGAUGAAGGCCUUAGGGUUGUAGAGCUCUUUUACCCGGGAUGAUAAUGACAGUACCGGGAGAAUAAGCUCCGGCUAACUCCGUGCCAGCCGCCGCAGUAA